Molecule: ribosomal RNA, 403 nt
Filed under: uncultured bacterium
Lineage: Bacteria
Description: partial 16S ribosomal RNA
Rfam family: Bacterial small subunit ribosomal RNA
Source: RNAcentral
AUUGAACGCUGGCGGCAGGCCUAACACAUGCAAGUCGAGCGAGCGGCGGACGGGUGAGUAAUGUAUGGGGACUGCCCGAUAGAGGGGGAUAACUACUGGGAACGGUGGCUAAUACCGCAUACUAUCGGAUAACCCAUAUGGGAUUAUCUAGUAGGUAAUGGAAUGGCUUACUGAGGCGACGAUCCCUAGCUGGUCUGAGAGGAUGAUCAGCAACACUGGAACUGCGACACGGCCCAGACUCCUGCGGAGGCAGCAGUGGGGAAUAUUGCACAAGGGGCGCAAGCCGGAUGCAGCCAUGCCGCGUGUAUGAAGAAGGCCCUAGGGUUGUAAAGUACUUUCAGUCGGGAGGCGUUACCGACAGAAGAAGCACCGGCUAACUCCGUGCCAGCAGCCGCGGUAAUAC